This is a long non-coding RNA of Oncorhynchus mykiss (rainbow trout), 2047 nucleotides long. RefSeq lists it as uncharacterized. NCBI's taxonomy places the organism in Eukaryota, Metazoa, Chordata, Actinopteri, Salmoniformes, Salmonidae. The record is from RefSeq and is a predicted model, not a curated record.
GCAUUGUGUCAAGAAGCAGUGUGGCUUGGCAGGGUCGUAUUUCGAAGAACGCACGGCUCUCGACCUUCGCCUCUCCCGAGUCCGUACGGGAGUUGCAUUGAUGGGACAAGACUGUAACUACCAAUUGGGGAGAAAAAGGGAUAACAAACUAUUUUACAUUUAUACUUGAUUGAGGUAGGGACAUCCCAAGGAUCCCGAAUAGCACGAACCCUCUGGACAUAAUAUUUUCUAGGCCAUUAGCGAUAACAGGAAAUACACAAGUCGUAGCUCAAGGUGGCUACUUCGGAAUGUCGGCUUGCACAGGAAAAACGCCUGUACAGUGGUUUCCUGGACUGUUUCCUGAAGACUUACUGCCACAAUGGGCUCUGUGCCUGACCUGGCCAAAGUGGCUGGAAUGCUGUGCUCUUUGUCUGAUACGGGGCCUGCCAGCAGCUCACCAGGAGAGACUUUGGGCUGGAGAACGUGUCUGACCUCAGUAGCCUGCUGUAUACCCUGUCUGGCUCACUGGCAUUGGUCUUCUCCUCACUGGUGUUGUGUCUCAGAGAGCUGGUGAAGGGUUGUAUGCAGGCCAUGCAUGAGAUGAGGCUCGGGGGGAGACCUCCCUGGUGUCAUGCAUGUGUCCCUGCUUUGUAUUCUGGUCUAACCCCCACUUCCCCUCCAACGGAGCUCUAUUCCUGGCUUAUGAGUGGACUAGAAGAGCCCUCCUCAACCGCACAUCUGCAUCCUGAGUUAGUUUGUAGGGAUGGGGCAGAAGAGGUUUGUAAAUUCAAAAUUCCCCAAAAAUGCAUUAACAUGUACAAACCUCUGAAACUACAUUGUUAAUUUGUGUUAACCUCUGAUCUUGUUUUAACCAUGUUUUCUAUGUCUGGGGUGUAUUCACUAAGAACCCAAAUGGAACCAAAUGUAAGGAAACAUGGAGGGACCUACCGGAAUUUGUCCAUGUAACAUUUGUCAUAAUGAGCGGCCCAAGGCACAGCGUGCAUAGAGAUCCGCAUAUUUUAAUUAAUCGACCGACCCGUGACGCUACUGGCAUGCACACAUGACGCUACUGGCAUGCACACAUGACGCUACUGGCAUGCACACAUGACGCUACUGGCAUGCACACAUGACGCUACUGGCAUGCACACAUGACGCUACUGGCAUGCACACAUGACGCUACUGGCAUGACUCUACUGGCAUGCACACAUGACGCUACUGGCAUGCACACAUGACGCUACUGGCAUGCACACAUGACGCUACUGGCAUGCACACAUGACGCUACUGGCAUGCACACAUGACGCUACUGGCAUGCACACAUAACGCUACUGGCAUGCACACAUGACGCUACUGGCAUGCACACAUGCAUGCACACAUGCAGGCACACAUGCAGCUACUUGCAGGCACACAUACAGCUACUGGCACGCACACAUGCAGCUACUGGCACGCACACAUGCAGCUACUGGCACGCACACAUGCAGCUACUGGCACACAACUAUCUGUAGACCAGAUCCCACAAUGCGGUGGGAACCACACCACUGAUUGGGAACCACACCAGGCCAACAUAAACCAUUAAUCACCUAGAUGACCCACCCUAGUCACUAUCACGCCCCAACCAACAGAGAAUAAACAGCUCUAUAUGGUCAGGGCGUGACAGUCCAAUAGAAACACCUCUUUUUUUUUUCUCGAAAUGUUUUCUUGUUUGGAGCAAACGGUUACCAUUGCAAAACGUUUUGCAACAUUUUGCUAUGGUCUUCAUCUAAUGAAUACACCUCUGGUCAAUAGGUCUAAUGUCUAGCCACUGAACGUAAUGAGUCAGGACACAAUCAAAGGACUCUAUGCACUAUAACAACUCUAACAUUCCAGCCACUGGCCCGAGACAAGCAUUACACAAUUUCACACAGGAUCUGUUGUGUUGUCAACUAGUUUAAAAAAAAAAUAUCCUUCUAUUUACCGUAUAUGUGUAAAUAAAAUCUUUAGGUUUUACAUUAUAUAGCUACAGCACAGCUCAACACUGUUAUGUUUUGUGUUAUGUUAAUUAUUUUUUCUACAUUAAAUGUGUGUUACACAA